Molecule: long non-coding RNA, 555 nt
Organism: Drosophila virilis
Lineage: Eukaryota; Metazoa; Arthropoda; Insecta; Diptera; Drosophilidae
Source: RefSeq, a predicted model, not a curated record
UGCUCAAAAAACCAGCAUGUCUAUAUCGAUUCUUAUCGAUUAUCGACGGACGGACGACCAACGGAUAGGCAGACAGAUAGACAGUCAGAUGGACAUGAUGUCAGCAUCAUGCUGCUGCCUGUUGCAUACAUUUGCAUUUGGACCAAAUACAAUAUACCCUUAUAUACAUUUUUAACGUAUUCGGGUUUCCUUGUGGUAUAUUGUGUCCAAUAUGUUAAGUUUUCUUGGCAAUAGCCCCUUGAACUCAAUUAAUAGUUGGCUUUGAAUUACCUUAACUUCAUGGUUGCUUUUGCUGGCGGUACCCCAAAGAUGGAUGCCUUAAAAUGCUUGACGCGAAUCUUCAAUUUGGACUGCCUGCCGAUCAGCCAGUAUAAUUUUUCACCGUUUUUUCUGCCUAUGUGUCCUUUUGCGCAAAAUAUGUUCACGCCAUGUCAGCCGUCUCUCGAGUGUGACACCUAGAUAAUUGGGCGUUGUGCUUACAUUAAUCUGUAUUCCGUCUAGGAAAACUAGAGGACAGUUUCAUUUACGCAGCGUAAAAGUGGUAUGAGUGGUGUA